This 253-nucleotide ribosomal RNA is filed under the name uncultured bacterium. Its description in RNAcentral is "partial 16S ribosomal RNA". It matches the Rfam family "Bacterial small subunit ribosomal RNA", at positions 524 to 776 of the family's 1533-position model. The record is from RNAcentral.
UACGUACUGUGCGAACGUUAUUCGGAAUUACUGGGCGUAAAGCGCGUGUAGGCGGCUUGCUAAGUCUGAUGUGAAAGCCCGGGGCUCACCCCCGGAAGUGCAUUGGAAACUGGCGAGCUCGAGUUCCGGAGAGGAGGGUGGAAUUCCUGGUGUAGCGGUGAAAUGCGUAGAUAUCAGGAGGAACACCGGUGGCGAAGGCGGCCCUCUGGACGGUGACUGACGCUGAGACGCGAAAGCGUGGGGAGCAAACAGG